RNAcentral lists this ribosomal RNA (524 nucleotides) under uncultured bacterium. RNAcentral describes it as "bacterial SSU rRNA". It matches the Rfam family "Bacterial small subunit ribosomal RNA", at positions 984 to 1509 of the family's 1533-position model. The record is from RNAcentral.
ACAUCCAGCGAACUUGGCAGAGAUGCCUUGGUGCCUUCGGGAACGCUGAGACAGGUGCUGCAUGGCUGUCGUCAGCUCGUGUUGUGAAAUGUUGGGUUAAGUCCCGCAACGAGCGCAACCCUUAUCCUUUGUUGCCAGCGAUUCGGUCGGGAACUCAAAGGAGACUGCCGGUGAUAAACCGGAGGAAGGUGGGAUGACGUCAAGUCAUCAUGGCCCUUACGAGUAGGGCUACACACGUGCUACAAUGGCGCAUACAAAGAGAAGCGACCUCGCGAGAGCAAGCGGACCUCAUAAAGUGCGUCGUAGUCCGGAUCGGAGUCUGCAACUCGACUCCGUGAAGUCGGAAUCGCUAGUAAUCGUGGAUCAGAAUGCCACGGUGAAUACGUUCCCGGGCCUUGUACACACCGCCCGUCACACCAUGGGAGUGGGUUGCAAAAGAAGUAGGUAGCUUAACCUUCGGGAGGGCGCUUACCACUUUGUGAUUCAUGACUGGGGUGAAGUCGUAACAAGGUAGGCGUAGCGAG